RNAcentral lists this ribosomal RNA (253 nucleotides) under uncultured bacterium. RNAcentral's name for it is "partial 16S ribosomal RNA". It matches the Rfam family "Bacterial small subunit ribosomal RNA", at positions 524 to 776 of the family's 1533-position model. The record is from RNAcentral.
UACGUAGGGAGCAAGCGUUGUCCGGAAUCAUUGGGCGUAAAGCGCGCGUAGGCGGCCUCAUAAGUCCGUUGUGAAAGUCAAAGGCUCAACCUUUGAAAGCCGAUGGAUACUGUGAGGCUAGAGUCCGGAAGAGGCGAGUGGAAUUCCUGGUGUAGCGGUGGAAUGCGCAGAUAUCAGGAGGAACACCAAUAGCGAAGGCAGCUCGCUGGGACAGUACUGACGCUAAGGCGCGAAAGCGUGGGGAGCGAACAGG